UUAAGGGUAAAGGGAUUUUACAGGAGGAGGAGUCCGUUGCAUCACUAAAAGAGGCAUCCGCUCGGGAGUCACAACAAGUGACGCAGCAAGUUCGUACCGUACCACCCACUGGUCCUCCGAAGCCAGCGGGAAAAAAAGGCGGUGCUUUUGUGCCUCGAUACCGGUCGACGCUCGCAACAAUGGUUGAUAUGUCCGAUAUGAAGGAUGGUGCUUUACGUGAAAUCGAUAUGGAUGAAAGUGUCUUCGGUAUUGAAUUCAAGUCACUUAUUACAAUUGAUGACUUGGAGGAGAUUUUUAGGCAUGAUCAACUAGGCGUCACUAACAUGCACUCAUACAUCCGGUUGUUGUAUGACAGAGUGUUGCGCGGGAAUCCAUUGUCUAACAGAUUCCGUUUCGUGUCUUCCGCC
Long non-coding RNA from Vicia villosa (hairy vetch), 407 nucleotides. RefSeq lists it as uncharacterized. NCBI's taxonomy places the organism in Eukaryota, Viridiplantae, Streptophyta, Magnoliopsida, Fabales, Fabaceae. The record is from RefSeq and is a predicted model, not a curated record. The transcript has 3 exons.